GCUGAAUGUGCCCAAGGAUUCUGGGAACCUUUGCAUUUGGGCUGGGAGAAAAACAGCAAGGAUUUGCACAGAUCGCAACAGAUAGGCAGGGAGGCGUCUUUCACUAACACACUGUAACAAGCCCUUUUAAACAUCUGAUGUAGCUGGGGAGUGAUGAGAUGACAACUAGCAUGGGCACGAGGGAAAUUCUUCUUCUGGAUACACAUUUGGAUUGAUUUUGCUGUCAAGAUCUAAGUCAGGAGAGCAUUCCCAACUCUACCCUUCAAGACUGGGUCUGCAGAG
Molecule: long non-coding RNA, 282 nt
Filed under: Zonotrichia albicollis (white-throated sparrow)
Lineage: Eukaryota; Metazoa; Chordata; Aves; Passeriformes; Passerellidae
Description: lncRNA (ENSZALG00000008741.1)
Source: RNAcentral